AAAUUGAAGAGUUUGAUCAUGGCUCAGAUUGAACGCUGGCGGCAGGCCUAACACAUGCAAGUCGAGCGGUAGCACAGAGAGCUUGCUCUCGGGUGACGAGCGGCGGACGGGUGAGUAAUGUCUGGGAAACUGCCUGAUGGAGGGGGAUAACUACUGGAAACGGUAGCUAAUACCGCAUAACGUCGCAAGACCAAAGUGGGGGACCUUCGGGCCUCAUGCCAUCAGAUGUGCCCAGAUGGGAUUAGCUAGUAGGUGGGGUAACGGCUCACCUAGGCGACGAUCCCUAGCUGGUCUGAGAGGAUGACCAGCCACACUGGAACUGAGACACGGUCCAGACUCCUACGGGAGGCAGCAGUGGGGAAUAUUGCACAAUGGGCGCAAGCCUGAUGCAGCCAUGCCGCGUGUGUGAAGAAGGCCUUCGGGUUGUAAAGCACUUUCAGCGGGGAGGAAGGCGGUGAGGUUAAUAACCUCAUCGAUUGACGUUACCCGCAGAAGAAGCACCGGCUAACUCCGUGCCAGCAGCCGCGGUAAUACGGAGGGUGCAAGCGUUAAUCGGAAUUACUGGGCGUAAAGCGCACGCAGGCGGUCUGUCAAGUCGGAUGUGAAAUCCCCGGGCUCAACCUGGGAACUGCAUUCGAAACUGGCAGGCUAGAGUCUUGUAGAGGGGGGUAGAAUUCCAGGUGUAGCGGUGAAAUGCGUAGAGAUCUGGAGGAAUACCGGUGGCGAAGGCGGCCCCCUGGACAAAGACUGACGCUCAGGUGCGAAAGCGUGGGGAGCAAACAGGAUUAGAUACCCUGGUAGUCCACGCCGUAAACGAUGUCGAUUUGGAGGUUGUGCCCUUGAGGCGUGGCUUCCGGAGCUAACGCGUUAAAUCGACCGCCUGGGGAGUACGGCCGCAAGGUUAAAACUCAAAUGAAUUGACGGGGGCCCGCACAAGCGGUGGAGCAUGUGGUUUAAUUCGAUGCAACGCGAAGAACCUUACCUGGUCUUGACAUCCACAGAACUUUCCAGAGAUGGAUUGGUGCCUUCGGGAACUGUGAGACAGGUGCUGCAUGGCUGUCGUCAGCUCGUGUUGUGAAAUGUUGGGUUAAGUCCCGCAACGAGCGCAACCCUUAUCCUUUGUUGCCAGCGGUUAGGCCGGGAACUCAAAGGAGACUGCCAGUGAUAAACUGGAGGAAGGUGGGGAUGACGUCAAGUCAUCAUGGCCCUUACGACCAGGGCUACACACGUGCUACAAUGGCAUAUACAAAGAGAAGCGACCUCGCGAGAGCAAGCGGACCUCAUAAAGUAUGUCGUAGUCCGGAUUGGAGUCUGCAACUCGACUCCAUGAAGUCGGAAUCGCUAGUAAUCGUAGAUCAGAAUGCUACGGUGAAUACGUUCCCGGGCCUUGUACACACCGCCCGUCACACCAUGGGAGUGGGUUGCAAAAGAAGUAGGUAGCUUAACCUUCGGGAGGGCGCUUACCACUUUGUGAUUCAUGACUGGGGUGAAGUCGUAACAAGGUAACCGUAGGGGAACCUGCGG
RNAcentral lists this ribosomal RNA (1524 nucleotides) under Klebsiella pneumoniae. RNAcentral's name for it is "bacterial SSU rRNA". It matches the Rfam family "Bacterial small subunit ribosomal RNA". Lineage: Bacteria; Pseudomonadati; Pseudomonadota; Gammaproteobacteria; Enterobacterales; Enterobacteriaceae. The record is from RNAcentral.